UGGGACUUAGCAGGUUCUUUACAAGGGAGGAGGUCAAACGCUAGAUGAGGAGUCAAAUCUCGACUUCUCUCCACUCAGUGCUUUUGGGGGGCUCUUCUCGGCACCUGGAACCCAGCUCCUUCUGCGUACGGGAAAGGAGCCCGUUAUUGCCUCCUCAACACCUGGGACGGCAGGUGGGACGGCCUGGCUCACUAUGGGACUUCCUCCAUACCUGCUCCACCGUGGCCAGCCUCCACUGGACACCAGACUAAAGGGACUGCAUGAUCCUGAAGUGUGAACCUCCACACUCAAAGACAGAUGUCUGCUGUCCUGAGAAGGUGGAGGAGGGUCCUUGGAGACUCCUGAAAUGCGUUGCUACCCUCUUUCCAGAUAUCCUCAGCUUGUUCAGAGGUGACACAAAGAUCUGCAGCUUUGAGUGAAUGAAGUGUUUCUCUCUCUGUGAUUCCCAUGAUACCUCACGAAUGCCAGCAAGGCUCAGACGUUCAGAUUUGCUCCAAUCGUUUGAUUCAAGGAAAACUAAAAAGGAGAUGAAGACCUGGGUCAUCUUGCUCAUGCCACACUGCAGGCUGGGUGCGGACCCGAGUGAUGACCAAGAAUUCCUAUUCCAUCUCAUGGUUUGCAAAAAUGUUUUUUGAAACCAAGACCCCUGGCCUGGCAGAGAAGGUGCUGCAUCAAACCAAAGCAUGUUUUUUCUUCUCAAAGUACAGGCAGAGAUGUGAGAGUGUAAGAGGGGCUUAUGUGAGGCUUCAGUGGAGAUGGACAACUACUCACCUCUGUCACAAGUCCUUAUGGUCCCUGAAAGGUCCCUGAGGUUCCAAUUUGUGUGUGGUGUAGCCAGAGAUGAUGCAUUCAUCUCAACUUUGCCAUUUACCACAUCUGUGAAAAUUUAAGUACAUUUGAAUGUUCUCAGCUUGGAACCCUGCAGAGUGGGAUAAAGCUCCCUGAAGGAUCCGGAAGCCUGAGUGUUGUCCUGUGACAUGGCAGCUCUCAGGAUAAGCAUUGCAGCCCAAGCAGGUGGCUACACUGUGCUGUCCCUCUAAUGGCUCCCCUUCUGCACUUGGGAUGAAGUGUGAGUACUUACUGUGUGGCUCAGAGGCUCUGAAGACCCCCAGUGAAAUUCGGCUUCUUAACUCCCAUCACACUGAAAUUGUAUGGUCCUCAUUUAUCUUGUCUACAUGUGCAAAACUCCUGGAAGGAAGGGAUCCUGUUUCUCUCACUCACAGCAUUAUCCUCAGGGCUUAGCAGAGUUCCUGACACACAUUAGAUGAGCAGUCAUUGUUUGUAGGAAAAAUGCAUGGCAUCAAAUAAAUUCCUCCUUCAGUUGACUGGUCCCGUAGACAAAUGCCUAAAUUCAGGGUGAUUUGGAGAAGCUUGGAUCGCUGGCCUGGGUCAGACCAUAACUUUGUCAGAUGUGUUUUGAACCUAGAUGCCCCUGCUGUGCUUAACUCUGUGACCUUGGUUAGGGAAGAAACAGUGUAGUGUGCUAGCAAAGGACAUAGAAGCUGGCAUUUCUGCUUGGUUUAUAUAAGUGCGUGAAAUGGGCAGCACCUGCUUUUAGGCUGUGUCUUCACCACAUGUGGGUUGGUGAACAAUGGCAGAGGUUUCUUUUCUUUUUCUGGAGCAGGUGAGUUCAAGCUAGAGGAUAUCGUUCCCCUAAAAGCUGAAGAGCACCUGCUGCAGACCAUUAGACCCAUGGAGGGACAGAGUGCAUGAACGUGCUGCUUCGCCACCCUUGCAGGUGCCCUUCUAAGCUGCUGACUCCUGUGCUCAAACAAAGCGCUGAAGUGGGGAUACAAUGUCCCUGCAAGAUGUGAUCGACUUCUGAUGUUCCUGAGACAGCAGAAAGCCGACCUAUGACACCCAGGAUCCAUUAGGUGGCUGUAUUGCAUUUCUUUCCAUCAAUGGAUAUCUUCUCCCAAUGCAAGCUGUGAGCUCAGCUGCUCCCCAGAAUCCGUCCCUCAACUGUGGGGAGAACAAACACCAGGAAAACCAGACUGAGGCUUCCUCACUCAGAUCUGCGUGGUGACCACUGUUGUACGUUUAGUACACCUGUCUGCCAGGCAGUAUGACGAUGUGUUGGAACCUUCUUGUGGAACACAGCUGGGGCUGAACCUGUCUUCCAGACUCCAUGGUGAUUCCAUGGCCUGAUGCAGAGGCACAGAGCAAGUUCAUGGCGGGGGGAUUCUAAUGCUUGUCCCAUAUCUUACACUAAUUUGAGAUAACUGAGAUUGUAUUCUGUAUCAUGGCUCACUGGGAUGGAGUCUCUUUCCUAUCCCAUUGGCUUUGGGCGUAGUCAGUUGACUUGCUGUGGCCAAGGAAGAUGGACAUGACAGGAUGCUACCAAAACAGAGGCUCUGUUGCUGCCACUGAUCAUUGUUGUUCUGCUUUUGCCAACUCCAUGAGAAAAAUAUGCCUUGAGUGGCUACUGCAGACCGCCACAGAACUUCUGGUCCACCUGCACUCUUGUGAACAAGUGAAUGUUUGUCAUUGCAAGAUACCGUGUUUUGAGAUUGUUUGGUACUUGACAUUAUUGCAGCAAUAUCUGAUUAGCAUAAAGAGUUUCAAGUUCCUUAAUUAAUUAUUCUUGAAUUUCUCUUUUGGUGUGAGGUAUGAUUUUACUGUGUCUGAUGAAUCUGACAAUGUUGUACAUUCAUGCAAUCACCAACAAGCAAUUGACUCUUUUCUAUCACCCUCGAAAGCUUUCUCAAGCCCUUCUCCAGCUUUCUCUUUCUGAGAGCAACCACAUCCUGUUUUCUAACGCUGUCAUUUAGUUUGCCCAUUCCUGAGUUUCACCCAAAUGGAAUCAUACAGCAUCCUCUCUUUGUGUCUGAUUUUAUUGAUCAAUAUCAUGGCUUUUUAGAUCAUCCAUGUUUGUAUCAGCAGUGUAUUCUUCUGAUUGCUGACCUGCUUUCCACCCUAUAAAUACACCACAGUUUGUGUUAGAUCUACCUAAUGCUAACCAUUUGUGCUAAUUCCAUAUUUUGGCUAUUGUGAAUAAAGGUGAUUUAUUUUCAAUAUAAGUGUUUCUCCUUAGUGUAUAUCUGGAAAUGGUAUUACUGGGUUAUAGGGCAAAAUGUUUUUCAAACUGGAUAUACCAUAUUACCCCAAUCAACAACGUAUUAGAGUUCAGUUCCUUCUACCAUUGUCUUUUUAAUUUUAACUCUUUGGGUAGCAUCUCACUGUGGUUUUAGGUUUUCUCUGAUGAACAGUAGUGGUAAGAA
Non-coding RNA from Oryctolagus cuniculus (rabbit), 3221 nucleotides. The record is from RefSeq and is a predicted model, not a curated record. NCBI's taxonomy places the organism in Eukaryota, Metazoa, Chordata, Mammalia, Lagomorpha, Leporidae.